UACGGGGGGGGCAAGCGUUGUUCGGAAUUACUGGGCGUAAAGGGCUCGUAGGCGGCCAACUAAGUCAGACGUGAAAUCCCUCGGCUUAACCGGGGAACUGCGUCUGAUACUGGAUGGCUAGAGUUUGGGAGAGGGAUGCGGAAUUCCAGGUGUAGCGGUGAAAUGCGUAGAUAUCUGGAGGAACACCGGUGGCGAAGGCGGCAUCCUGGACCGGUAUUGACGCUGAGGCGCGAAAGCCAGGGGAGCAAACGGG
Molecule: ribosomal RNA, 253 nt
Filed under: uncultured bacterium
Lineage: Bacteria
Description: partial 16S ribosomal RNA
Rfam family: Bacterial small subunit ribosomal RNA
Source: RNAcentral